Molecule: ribosomal RNA, 205 nt
Filed under: uncultured bacterium
Lineage: Bacteria
Description: partial 16S ribosomal RNA
Rfam family: Bacterial small subunit ribosomal RNA
Source: RNAcentral
AGCGCAGGCGGUUUGAUAAGUCUGAAGUUAAAGGCUGUGGCUCAACCAUAGUUCGCUUUGGAAACUGUCAAACUUGAGUGCAGAAGGGGAGAGUGGAAUUCCAUGUGUAGCGGUGAAAUGCGUAGAUAUAUGGAGGAACACCGGUGGCGAAAGCGGCUCUCUGGUCUGUAACUGACGCUGAGGCUGAAAGCGUGGGGAGCGAACA